Molecule: ribosomal RNA, 195 nt
Filed under: uncultured eukaryote
Lineage: Eukaryota
Description: partial 18S ribosomal RNA
Rfam family: Eukaryotic small subunit ribosomal RNA
Source: RNAcentral
CAUAACCUGGUUGAUCCUGCCAGUAGCAUACGCUUGUCUCAAAGAUUAAGCCAUGCAUGUCUAAGUAUAAACAACUUUAUACGUGAAACUGCGAAUGGCUCAUUAUAUCAGUUAUAGUUUAUUUGAUGGUCAUUGCUACUUGGAUAACCGUAGUAAUUCUAGAGCUAAUACAUGCAUCAAACCCCGACUUCUGGA